GAGGGUAUAGCUCAGUGGUAGAGUACCAGCUUAGCAUGUACAAGGUCCUGAGUUCAAUCCCCAGUAUCUCCA
Camelus ferus (Wild Bactrian camel) is the source of this 72-nucleotide transfer RNA. It matches the Rfam family "tRNA". From Rfam's summary of the family: Transfer RNA (tRNA) molecules are approximately 80 nucleotides in length. Their secondary structure includes four short double-helical elements and three loops (D, anti-codon, and T loops). Further hydrogen bonds mediate the characteristic L-shaped molecular structure. tRNAs have two regions of fundamental functional importance: the anti-codon, which is responsible for specific mRNA codon recognition, and the 3' end, to which the tRNAs corresponding amino acid is attached (by aminoacyl-tRNA synthetases). tRNAs cope with the degeneracy of the genetic code in two manners: having more than one tRNA (with a specific anti-codon) for a particular amino acid; and 'wobble' base-pairing, i.e. permitting non-standard base-pairing at the 3rd anti-codon position. The record is from Rfam. NCBI's taxonomy places the organism in Eukaryota, Metazoa, Chordata, Mammalia, Artiodactyla, Camelidae.